GAUGAACGCUAGCGGCAGGCUUAACACAUGCAAGUCGAGGGGCAGCAUAGAGGUUAGCAAUAACUUCUGAUGGCGACCGGCGCAAGGGUGCGUAACGCGUGAGCAACUUGCCCUUAUCAGGGGGAUAACCAAUGGAAACGUUGACUAAUACCCCAUAGUAUACUUUUAAGGCAUCUUUUGAGUAUUAAAGAAUUUCGGAUAAGGAUAGGCUCGCGUGACAUUAGCUAGAUGGCGGGGUAACGGCCCACCAUGGCGACGAUGUCUAGGGGUUCUGAGAGGAAGGUCCCCCACACUGGAACUGAGACACGGUCCAG
Molecule: ribosomal RNA, 314 nt
Filed under: uncultured bacterium
Lineage: Bacteria
Description: bacterial SSU rRNA
Rfam family: Bacterial small subunit ribosomal RNA
Source: RNAcentral